RNAcentral lists this ribosomal RNA (449 nucleotides) under uncultured bacterium. Its description in RNAcentral is "partial 16S ribosomal RNA". It matches the Rfam family "Bacterial small subunit ribosomal RNA", at positions 354 to 796 of the family's 1533-position model. The record is from RNAcentral.
GUCGAGAAUCUUUCACAAUGGGGGCAACCCUGAUGGAGCGACGCCGCGUGGAGGAUAAGGUCUUCGGAUUGUAAACUCCUGUCAUGCGUGAACAAGGUUGCUUGGUUAAUACCUGGGCAAAUUGAUGGUAACGCAAGAGGAAGAGACGGCUAACUCUGUGCCAGCAGCCGCGGUAAUACAGAUGUCUCAAGCGUUGUUCGGAAUCACUGGGCGUAAAGGGUGCGUAGGUGGCGUGGUAAGUCAGAUGUGAAAGCCCGGGGCUCAACCUCGGAAAUGCAUCCGAUACUGCCAUGCUAGAGUACUGGAGAGGUGACUAGAAUUCUCGGUGUAGCAGUGAAAUGCGUAGAUAUCGAGAGGAAUACCAAAGGCGUAGGCAGGUCACUGGACAGUUACUGACACUGAGGCACGAAGGCCAGGGGAGCGAACGGGAUUAGAUACCCGAGUAGUCC